Schistosoma haematobium is the source of this 47-nucleotide non-coding RNA. Lineage: Eukaryota; Metazoa; Platyhelminthes; Trematoda; Strigeidida; Schistosomatidae. The record is from Rfam.
AUCCAGCUGACGAGUCCCAAAAAUAGAACGAAACGCACGUCCUGAAU